This 468-nucleotide ribosomal RNA is filed under the name uncultured bacterium. RNAcentral's name for it is "partial 16S ribosomal RNA". It matches the Rfam family "Bacterial small subunit ribosomal RNA", at positions 28 to 507 of the family's 1533-position model. The record is from RNAcentral.
GACGAACGCUGGCGGCGUGCUUAACACAUGCAAGUCGAACGGAAAGGCCCUGCUUUUGUGGGGUGCUCGAGUGGCGAACGGGUGAGUAACACGUGAGUAACCUGCCCUUGACUUUGGGAUAACUUCAGGAAACUGGGGCUAAUACCGGAUAGGAGCUCCUGCUGCAUGGUGGGGGUUGGAAAGUUUCGGCGGUUGGGGAUGGACUCGCGGCUUAUCAGCUUGUUGGUGGGGUAGUGGCUUACCAAGGCUUUGACGGGUAGCCGGCCUGAGAGGGUGACCGGCCACAUUGGUACUGGGGUACGGCCCAGACUCCUACGGGGGGCAGCAGUGGGGAAUAUUGCACAAUGGGCGGAAGCCUGAUGCAGCAACGCCGCGUGCGGGAAGACGGCCUUCGGGUUGUAAACCGCUUUCGCCUGUGACGAAGCGUGAGUGACGGUAAUGGGUAAAGAAGCACCGGCUAACUACGUG